RNAcentral lists this unclassified non-coding RNA (323 nucleotides) under uncultured fungus. RNAcentral describes it as "partial contains small subunit ribosomal RNA, internal transcribed spacer 1, and 5.8S ribosomal RNA". The stretch from base 1 to 73 matches the Rfam family "Eukaryotic small subunit ribosomal RNA", at positions 1759 to 1831 of the family's 1831-position model. Lineage: Eukaryota; Fungi. The record is from RNAcentral.
GCAAACUUGGUCAUUUAGAGGAAGUAAAAGUCGUAACAAGGUUUCCGUAGGUGAACCUGCGGAAGGAUCAUUACCGAACCGUCAAACGUAGUUGUUUCUGGCCUUCAAAAGGGGGCACGUGCACGCUACGUUUGCACAUCCACUUCACACCCGUGCACCCUCUGUAGCUCUAUAGUCUGGGGAACCCUGUUCUCCUUCUGUAGCCCUACGUUUUUACACACACACUGUAACAAUGUCUUGUGGAAUGCUUUCUGCGUUUAACGCAAUACAGUACAACUUUCAGCAACGGAUCUCUUGGCUCUCGCAUCGAUGAAGAACGCAGC